GAUGAACGCUGGCGGCGUGCCUAAUACAUGCAAGUCGAGCGAACAGACGAGGAGCUUGCUCCUCUGACGUUAGCGGCGGACGGGUGAGUAACACGUGGAUAACCUACCUAUAAGACUGGGAUAACUUCGGGAAACCGGAGCUAAUACCGGAUAAUAUAUUGAACCGCAUGGUUCAAUAGUGAAAGACGGUUUUGCUGUCACUUAUAGAUGAAUCCGCGCCGCAUUAGCUAGUUGGUAAGGUAACGGCUUACCAAGGCAACGAUGCGUAGCCGACCUGAGAGGGUGAUCGGCCACACGGGAACUGAGACACGGUCCAGACUCCUACGGGAGGCAGCAGUAGGGAAUCUUCCGCAAUGGGCGAAAGCCUGACGGAGCAACGCCGCGUGAGUGAUGAAGGUCUUCGGAUCGUAAAACUCUGUUAUUAGGGAAGAACAAAUGUGUAAGUAACUAUGCACGUCUUGACGGUACCUAAUCAGAAAGCCACGGCUAACUACGUG
RNAcentral lists this ribosomal RNA (497 nucleotides) under uncultured bacterium. RNAcentral describes it as "partial 16S ribosomal RNA". It matches the Rfam family "Bacterial small subunit ribosomal RNA", at positions 28 to 507 of the family's 1533-position model. The record is from RNAcentral.